AACAGCGGGAUAGUUAUGUUUUGAUUUUAUCGUAAAUAAUAGCAUAAACACGUUGGGUUCACACACUAUGAACUCAAACUACUGCUUUCCGGCGUGUUGUUGCUUCGGCCAACUCGAGUCCCAUCGCAAUAAUUUUGAGUCAAGGUGCCCGACCGCAGGACUUCGACAGUUGCCGUCAGCCAAUCUAACCACCAGAGUUCCAACCGCAAACCGAACCCACCCACACCAUCGCAAACACAACAAUGGGCUGGAGGCAGGAGUAAUGGAAGAAAUCACAUCACAUGCCUAACAAGUAGCACGACUCUGUGGCCAGGAGACGAGGAAUCCAGUUCCAGCUACUGUUCCUGUUCCAGCAAACGCCUAAAUU
Drosophila melanogaster (fruit fly) is the source of this 367-nucleotide non-coding RNA. NCBI's taxonomy places the organism in Eukaryota, Metazoa, Arthropoda, Insecta, Diptera, Drosophilidae. The record is from Ensembl.